UACAGAGGUCUCAAGCGUUGUUCGGAAUCACUGGGCGUAAAGGGUGCGUAGGCUGCAUGGUAAGUCAGGUGUGAAAGCCCGGAGCUCAACUCCGGAACUGCACCCGAUACUGCCGUGCUUGAGGACUGGAGAGGAGUCUGGAAUUCACAGUGGAGCAGUGAAAUGCGUAGAUAUUGUGAGGAACACUAGUGGCGAAGGCGAGACUCUGGACAGUUCCUGACGCUGAGGCACGAAGGCCAGGGGAGCAAACGUG
This 253-nucleotide ribosomal RNA is filed under the name uncultured bacterium. Its description in RNAcentral is "partial 16S ribosomal RNA". It matches the Rfam family "Bacterial small subunit ribosomal RNA", at positions 524 to 776 of the family's 1533-position model. The record is from RNAcentral.